UACGAGUGGCCCAAGCGUUAUCCGGAAUUAUUGGGCGUAAAGGAUGUGUAGGUGGUCGUAUUAGUCCGGUGUCUAACCUCUGAGCUCAACUUGGAGACAGCAUUGGAAACGGUACGGCUAGAGUAUGUUAGGGGUAAGCGGAACUCAUAGUGUAGGGGUGAAAUCCGUUGAUAUUAUGGGGAACACCAAAAGCGAAGGCAGCUUACUGGAACAUUACUGACACUGAAACAUGAAAGCGUGGGUAGCGAAUGGG
Molecule: ribosomal RNA, 253 nt
Filed under: uncultured bacterium
Lineage: Bacteria
Description: partial 16S ribosomal RNA
Rfam family: Bacterial small subunit ribosomal RNA
Source: RNAcentral